AACGAACGCUGGCGGCGUGGAUUAGGCAUGCAAGUCGAACGCGAAAGAGGGAGCAAUCCCUCGAGUAGAGUGGCGAACGGGUGAGUAACGCGUGAAGAACCUGCCUUCAACAGGGGGAUAACACUCCCAACGGGGUGCUAAUACCGCAUGAGACCACGGGUCUGCAUGGACCUGAGGUCAAAGGUGGCCUCUGCUUGCAAGCUACCGGUUGAAGAUGGCUUCGCGUCCCAUUAGCUAGCUGGCGGUGUAACGGACCACCAAGGCGACGAUGGGUAGCUGGUCUGAGAGGAUGGUCAGCCACACUGGGACUGAGAUACGGCUCAGACUCCUACGGGAGGCAGCAGUCGAGAGGCUUCGGCAAUGGGGAAACCCUGACCGAGCGACGCCGCGUGGAGGAUGAAGGCCCUUGGGUUGUAAACUCCUUUUGUUGGGAAGAAAUGCGAUCAGGUAAACAAUCUGGUCGUUUGACGGUACCC
Molecule: ribosomal RNA, 476 nt
Filed under: uncultured bacterium
Lineage: Bacteria
Description: bacterial SSU rRNA
Rfam family: Bacterial small subunit ribosomal RNA
Source: RNAcentral